RNAcentral lists this ribosomal RNA (262 nucleotides) under uncultured bacterium. RNAcentral describes it as "partial 16S ribosomal RNA". It matches the Rfam family "Bacterial small subunit ribosomal RNA", at positions 77 to 353 of the family's 1533-position model. The record is from RNAcentral.
UUGUAAAAUGUCGGCGGGCGGCGGACGGCUGAGUAACGCGUAGGAAUUUGCCCCAAAGUGAGGAAUAACUGCCCGAAAGGGUAGCUAAUGCCGCAUAUGGUCUUCGGAUUAAAGCCUUCGGGCGCUUUGGGAGAAGCCUGCGUUGGAUUAGGUAGUUGGUAGGGUAAUGGCCUACCAAGCCGACGAUCCAUAGCUGGUCUGAGAGGGUGAUCAGCCAGACUGGAACUGAGACACGGUCCAGACUCCUACGGGAGGCAGCAUG